AGCAGCCGACGCCGAGAGGCACCGUUUCUUCUUAAAAGAGAAACGCUGCGCGCGCGAGCCUCUGGUGCACAUGGCUUCCUCCCCGGCGGUGGACGUGUCCUGCAGGCGGCGGGAGAAGCGGCGGCAGCUGGACGCGCGCCGCAGCAAGUGCCGCAUCCGCCUGGGCGGCCACAUGGAGCAGUGGUGCCUCCUCAAGGAGCGGCUGGGCUUCUCCCUGCACUCGCAGCUCGCCAAGUUCCUGUUGGACCGGUACACUUCUUCAGGCUGUGUCCUCUGUGCAGGUAGGUAGGGGAUGGCAGGGGGUGAGAGCCAGAGGGAAGAGGGACCACAGGGUGACCCAGAAACACCCUCCUUUCAAAGGGAGCCCUGAGUAAGUUUGGGAAGGGUGGGGUAAGUUGGGGAGCACAGGGUAGUUUGAUGGAGGCAACCUCUGGGUGGGGAAGGGAGCAAUGUCUCAGGAUCUAGUGUGUCUAGGUUCUGAAGAAUGAUAAAUUGGACUGGGGCUGAGGUUGCCCUAGGGUUUGAGGGAACGGGGCUCCCUGGGUAUGGCUC
This 552-nucleotide small RNA is filed under the name Pongo abelii (Sumatran orangutan). Its description in RNAcentral is "retained intron". The record is from RNAcentral. Lineage: Eukaryota; Metazoa; Chordata; Mammalia; Primates; Hominidae.